Molecule: long non-coding RNA, 3646 nt
Organism: Salvelinus fontinalis (brook trout)
Lineage: Eukaryota; Metazoa; Chordata; Actinopteri; Salmoniformes; Salmonidae
Exons: 2
Source: RefSeq, a predicted model, not a curated record
UGCAGCUAAACCCCACGUGCAUACAAGGCUGCAGCGCGCGCCUCUAAUGUGCUGCUGUGCCUUUAAAGAGGGCUCUGGUUUCUCUCCUCGUUUCUAUGCAAUUAUGUUAAUAUGCAGAGCUUGUCUGGUGCUCUUCAUUAACGGCUGCAGUUGCAUCAUUGUUUCCUUUAUUUGUUAUCUCUGCAAAGCCAAUGAUUCAGUAACAGGCUAUAUUUUGGUGUUUUCUUCCUUACAAAUAUGUGGUCUUUAAUAGUGAUGGAUGAAGUAGGCCGUAUGUAAAGCCUUUUUUAUAAAUAUUUGCGUUUAUUUGUGGGUUUUCUAUUGCAACAAAUUAUCCUAUCUCAAGGUCGUGAUUUGCAUCCGGUUUGUGUUGGACAUCGGUUUCUAAAUAGGCAGACAAGGUCAUACCUUCAGGUGGAGGAUCUCGCCCGUCCUUUUCUCCGGGGGCACAGAUGGCACCAAAGGCUUCCGGUGAUGGAGAUUUAAGGGAAGAGGGACAAGGAGGUUGGUCUUUUUCUUACCCUCCUGCUUUCUGUUUUUUUGUGACGACUGUGCCACUUUCCCCUUGCUCAAUCCAGACCUGGUGUGAAUGGCUGGCAGUCACUGUGGAGGAAAUAAAGCACAAAACAGACCCCCUUUUAUCACUGCCAUGGCAACUACGACAUAAUCUGUCUUUAGGGAAAUAAAAGGACAGAAUAACUGUAAUUCCUUUGUAUCUGACAGUCACACCACUACAAGGUACUAGACUCUGGGUGAUGCUUUUUAUAGUAAUCUUAAUAGAGUGAAUAAUUAAAACAGUCUGGUUAUUUGACACAAGCAAUGCUGUACAGUAGGCUGUAUGGCAUAUAUUGUACUGGCUUUGUGCUAUCCAUAGUGGCUGCAAUGUUGCUUUAGUGUGUAUGUGAGCCUGCUGUCGUUUCAGACCGUGGGAGGGGUCAGUGUAUUAGAGACAAUAGAGAACGAGCCGCUCUCAACAUCGUUAAUUAAUUAAAGGGGUUGCCAGCUCGUCAGAGAGUGGUUAGAUGUCGGAGAGAAAAAACAUUACCCGCCAGCCACCCUACAUCUUGCCAGCACAAAAUGCUUUGUUGUGGUGCGUUGUCCCGUUUAGCAGAUGGUCUAAUGUAAAGAGUGUACUUGUUCAUCAAAAGUUAUUUAUUUCACAAAAAGAUUCAUGAUUAAAUUGAUGUAAAAGACACUCAUAAUACUCAUUUAUAUUUUAGCGUUCAAAUCUAUGCCUUCAUGAAUAAAAGGAGGAAAUAGUUUCAGGCUGUAAGAUGUACUCAGAAUAGCAAUCUGCUUGCUACUGUGUCGGGUCAAAUGAAUUUAGAGUCCAUAAAGGAGGUUAUUCUAUGAUUAGCCUAUAAAAGCAGAGGAUGAGAGAGGGAGUGGGAGAUGGAGACUAUAGUUCCUCCAUCUUCAGGGAGAAUGCAUUUUUGAAGAUCAGUGAGGAACGUGGGUGGUGGGUGGGUGGCGGGUCGGGUCGGAAAACAAAACCCAGAUGAGAUGAAACAGGCAGACAGCCUCUUUGUAAACAGAAUGGAUUCAGAGGAAAGAAGUGGCUGAAGCAGAUGCUGAAGUUUCAGCGUUUUUCCUCCUUUACUCCUCCUCUGCUCUUUCCUCCUUUCUGUAGUACAAAGCUGAAGGCAGCAGCGUCAGAACCUGACAACUACAGGGAGCCAGCUCAGAUCUGGGUCACACUGCCACCAGCACAAACCAGGAACAUACUGGAGCUUUUACACAUCUCCAUCUCCACCAAGGCUCCCAUGGAGGCAUAGAGAAACCUGAAGCCAAGAGGCUGCAUCCUAGCACCUGUCAUUCACACCCACAUUGGUUCAUGUUCAUGUUCUGUUUUCAACCUCUCUCUCAUAUUCUCUCAUCUCUCAUCAUGCCUCUCUAUAUCUGCCGUUAGCUGUUACUCUACCAUAUAAUAUGCACAUGUACUGUAUACCUUACUUACCAUUUAGUAGACAGUUUGUGUUGUUCAUACUGCAGAGUUUGUGGGUGUAUCUCAGGCAACCACUGCAGUGACAAGGGCACUGGAUCAACUUUUGACAAUAACAAAGACAUUUCCAAAUGCAAUACAAUGCAACAGUGCAACAACAAAAAAGCUAAACAUAUCCAUUAAAACAAUACGCUUGAAUUCUCAUCACUAACAUUCAGCAACAAUUAAUUUGAUCAUUGUCGGGUUAUAGAAUAGUCAUGCCAAGGGUUCUUCUACAACAGGCAAGGACACGUUUAUAUGGAUUAGGCCUAGAGAAGAAUAGAGUGAUGAGAUAGGUGUGGUUGAAUUAGAUAAUGUCUCCAUUCUUCUUUGUUGGGACUUGUAUGGACCAGAGCCUGCAUUACAGUUAUUGAUGAGGAGAUUCAGAUAGGCAGGUUGGAGGAGGUCGACACAAGGCUUUUAUUUUGAGUUUUGUAGAGGUACAAUCAGAAGCAGUUAGUGAAUAAAGGUGAAGGUACAAUAAAUAAUAAUAGAUGGAUAUUUUAAACAUAUAUUGAGAUUGAUCAGAAUACGACGUGUUCAAAUCAAGUGAGUUAAUAGUAGUUGUUCAUUUCCAUCAUCAACAACUAGCCUACUCUCAGUAUUAAAAGACAUGAGGAGGAAUUUAGAUAUCGGCCUACACUUGGAUAAUGUAAAGCUCACAAUAGAGAUCAAGGGGAUGCGGUUUUGGUUAAGGACGAGAUUAUCAGAGUAGGGACUGGUAGGUCCUAUGUCACUGGGUUGACCAGUGGAAAUUCUAAAUUGUCUGGUGACACACUAGAAUGGAGAGAUCCGGCCAGUCGUGGGAAAAGCUCGCUCGGGACGUUUCACAAAUCCAGCGUAUAGCCUCCUUUACUGAAUCAAACCAAUUAGCCAGGAGCGCGCUCCAGCCAUUGAGCGCCACUGUAGGCUCUGAGAGGAGUUGUUGGUUGAAUGAAAAUGCAUCGGCGGAUUUGGUUCUCCAAGAGAAGCUAUAGAAGUUGCCUUUUGAGGGACAGCUAUAGCACCGUGAAGGGCCAGGCAGAAAGUCCAAAUUGAGACACUUGAAUCAUUUGGGCCGAUUAGGUGUGCGCACAAUGCGUAAAGGUAUUGUGAGACUCACAUGGGAGGUAUAAUGCAUUUAAAUCUACAAAACCAUGAACAUCUUAAGUGUUCUUCCUUUCUAGACAACACAACUCAAUGUGAGAACACAACUGGAAGUAUGCGUUAUGUAAUGACAUGGAUCGCUUGACUUAAUAUCGACUGAAAGAUAUGAUUAGCCUACGCUUUUCAGAAUUUCAGUGCAAGGAGUAGGUAAAGCCUACAUAGCUCAUCUUAAUCAGGACAGUCUUUUUCAUAGGAGUUGGACUACAGUAGGCCUAAAUACGUCAUAAAGGCUAAUAUCGGCCAUUUUCUGGAAAAUCAAAACGUUUCCACCUGAGACAAGAAUGAUAUCAAUAUGAGCUACAAAUCUUAAUCCAUCUGAUUAAACCUUAAUUCAAUAUGUGUUUGCGUGUGCGUAAACCUGAUUUAUGCAGUGAGAACUAUAAGGAAUACAGGUCAACUACGGAUACUUUGAUGCGACAAAGCUUUAUUCAUGCCCGAAAAUCAAUUGUUACAGUUCACUCAUAUGACUGGAUAAAGUUAUGUAUUCCUCUGACCGGAAUAAAGGCUUUUUAUUAAGUA